This 496-nucleotide ribosomal RNA is filed under the name uncultured bacterium. Its description in RNAcentral is "partial 16S ribosomal RNA". It matches the Rfam family "Bacterial small subunit ribosomal RNA", at positions 28 to 506 of the family's 1533-position model. The record is from RNAcentral.
GAUGAACGCUGGCGGCGUGCCUAAUACAUGCAAGUCGAGCGAACGGACGAGAAGCUUGCUUCUCUGAUGUUAGCGGCGGACGGGUGAGUAACACGUGGAUAACCUACCUAUAAGACUGGGAUAACUUCGGGAAACCGUAGCUAAUACCGGAUAAUAUUUUGAACCGCAUGGUUCAAAAGUGAAAGACGGUCUUGCUGUCACUUAUAGAUGGAUCCGCGCUGCAUUAGCUAGUUGGUAAGGUAACGGCUUACCAAGGCAACGAUGCAUAGCCGACCUGAGAGGGUGAGCGGCCACACUGGAACUGAGACACGGUCCAGACUCCUACGGGAGGCAGCAGUAGGGAAUCUUCCGCAAUGGGCGAAAGCCUGACGGAGCAACGACGCGUGAGUGAUGAAGGUCUUCGGAUCGUAAAACUCUGUUAUUAGGGAAGAACAUAUGUGUAAGUAACUGUGCACAUCUUGACGGUACCUAAUCAGAAAGCCACGGCUAACUACGU